AAGCAACGCUCUGUGACAGAUUAUCAAAAUAGUCUGGCACAAUUUGAGCUUCCUACAGCGAGAAAGUCUAACCUAUUCCAGCACUCUCCCCUCUAUGAGAUGGCCCGUUAUAUAGACUUGGAACAGU
This is a small nucleolar RNA of Chinchilla lanigera (long-tailed chinchilla), 127 nucleotides long. Lineage: Eukaryota; Metazoa; Chordata; Mammalia; Rodentia; Chinchillidae. The record is from Ensembl.